RNAcentral lists this transfer RNA (81 nucleotides) under Bos taurus (domestic cattle). It matches the Rfam family "tRNA". From Rfam's summary of the family: Transfer RNA (tRNA) molecules are approximately 80 nucleotides in length. Their secondary structure includes four short double-helical elements and three loops (D, anti-codon, and T loops). Further hydrogen bonds mediate the characteristic L-shaped molecular structure. tRNAs have two regions of fundamental functional importance: the anti-codon, which is responsible for specific mRNA codon recognition, and the 3' end, to which the tRNAs corresponding amino acid is attached (by aminoacyl-tRNA synthetases). tRNAs cope with the degeneracy of the genetic code in two manners: having more than one tRNA (with a specific anti-codon) for a particular amino acid; and 'wobble' base-pairing, i.e. permitting non-standard base-pairing at the 3rd anti-codon position. The record is from Rfam by way of RNAcentral. Lineage: Eukaryota; Metazoa; Chordata; Mammalia; Artiodactyla; Bovidae. RNAcentral also lists the same sequence under 4 other names.
UCCCAGGUGGCUCAGUGGUAAAGAAUCCGCCUGCCAAUGAAGGAGAUGCAGGAGACACAGGUUCGAUCCCUGCUUUGGGAA